CAGUCGCCGCGGUAAGACGGAGGGUGCUAGCGUUGUUCGGAAUCACUGGGCGUAAAGGGCGCGUAGGCGGCCUGUUAAGUCGGGUGUGAAAGCCCGGGGCUCAACCCCGGAACUGCAUCCGAGACUGGCAGGCUUGAGACCGGGAGAGGAGGGUGGAAUAUCCAGUGUAGAGGUGAAAUUCGUAGAUAUUGGAUGGAACACCGGUGGCGAAAGCGGCUCUCUGGCCCGGAUCUGACGCUGAGGCGCGAAAGCGUGGGGAGCAAACAGGAUUAGAUACCCCCGUAGUCCCUGUCUCUUAUAC
Molecule: ribosomal RNA, 301 nt
Filed under: uncultured bacterium
Lineage: Bacteria
Description: partial 16S ribosomal RNA
Rfam family: Bacterial small subunit ribosomal RNA
Source: RNAcentral